AUACGUAGGGGGCGAGCGUUGUUCGGAUUUACUGGGCGUAAAGAGCGCGUAGGCGGUUCGAUCAGUCGGAGGUGAAAGCCCUCGGCUCAACCGAGGAUCCGCGUCCGAUACUGUCGAACUUGAGUGCAGGAGGGGAGAGCGGAAUUCCCAGUGUAGCGGUGAAAUGCGUAGAUAUUGGGAGGAACACCGGUGGCGAAGGCGGCUCUCUGGACUGUUACUGACGCUGAGGCGCGAAAGCUAGGGGAGCAAACGGGAUUAGAUACCCCGGUAGUCCUAGCCGUAAACGAUGGGCACUAGGUGUGGGAGGUAUCGACCCCUUCCGCGCCGCAGCUGGCACUCUCGAG
RNAcentral lists this ribosomal RNA (344 nucleotides) under uncultured bacterium. RNAcentral describes it as "partial 16S ribosomal RNA". It matches the Rfam family "Bacterial small subunit ribosomal RNA", at positions 523 to 864 of the family's 1533-position model. The record is from RNAcentral.